Molecule: ribosomal RNA, 460 nt
Filed under: uncultured bacterium
Lineage: Bacteria
Description: partial 16S ribosomal RNA
Rfam family: Bacterial small subunit ribosomal RNA
Source: RNAcentral
CCUACGGGAGGCAGCAGUGAGGAAUAUUGGUCAAUGGACGAGAGUCUGAACCAGCCAAGUAGCGUGAAGGAUGACUGCCCUAUGGGUUGUAAACUUCUUUUAUAUGGGAAUAAAAUGUUCCACGUGUGGGAUUUUGUAUGUACCAUAUGAAUAAGGAUCGGCUAACUCCGUGCCAGCAGCCGCGGUAAUACGGAGGAUCCGAGCGUUAUCCGGAUUUAUUGGGUUUAAAGGGAGCGUAGGUGGAUUGUUAAGUCAGUUGUGAAAGUUUGCGGCUCAACCGUAAAAUUGCAGUUGAAACUGGCAGUCUUGAGUACAGUAGAGGUGGGCGGAAUUCGUGGUGUAGCGGUGAAAUGCUUAGAUAUCACGAAGAACUCCGAUUGCGAAGGCAGCUCACUGGACUGCAACUGACGCUCAUGCACGAAAGCGUGGGUAUCGAACAGGAUUAGAUACCCUUGUAGUC